GACGAACGCUGGCGGCGUGCUUAACACAUGCAAGCCGAACGGUAAGGCCCUUCGGGGUACACGAGUGGCGAACGGGUGAGUAACACGUGGGUGAUCUGCCCUGCACUUCGGGAUAAGCCUGGGAAACUGGGUCUAAUACCGGAUAGGACCACUGCCUGCAUGGGUGGUGGUGGAAAGCUUUUGCGGUGUGGGAUGGGCCCGCGGCCUAUCAGCUUGUUGGUGGGGUGAUGGCCUACCAAGGCGACGACGGGUAGCCGGCCUGAGAGGGUGACCGGCCACACUGGGACUGAGAUACUGCCCAGACUCCUACGGGAGGCAGCAGUGGGGAAUAUUGCACAAUGGGCGCAAGCCUGAUGCAGCGACGCCGCGUGAGGGAUGACGGCCUUCGGGUUGUAAACCUCUUUCAGCACCGACGAAGCGCAAGUGACGGUAGGUGCAGAAGAAGGACCGGCCAACUACGUGCCAGUCGCCGCGGUAA
This 478-nucleotide ribosomal RNA is filed under the name uncultured bacterium. Its description in RNAcentral is "partial 16S ribosomal RNA". It matches the Rfam family "Bacterial small subunit ribosomal RNA", at positions 28 to 523 of the family's 1533-position model. The record is from RNAcentral.